AGCGACAUAAAAGUUUUAAGGAUAUCUUGCAGAUCGGUGGUAGGAGUCACGGCGAUAAUCGAUGAUUACCUGGUAAAUGGUGGAUUACGUUGGAACAAACACUUCUCUCGAAUGCACGUGAAUAUUUUUUUUUUAUUACACAACUUCCCAUCCUGUAUUCGAAUUAAUACGUAGUAAUAAGCGAAGAUACCUGCGUAUGUCAUUCUUCGAUCGAUUCUCAAGACUAAUUCCAGAGCGUCCGCAAUCGUGGCAGGUGGCACAUAAUCGCGGCCUCGUAACCCUCGAAUGAGUUAAUCCAUGAGACGUCGCGCCGUUUCACGCGACGACGACGACGACGACGACGACGAUGGCUGCAACCAGUGUCAUCUCGUCGUCCUUCUCAUCGUUGUAGACGUCGACAAUGUCUACGUGGUUGUCGUCGCCGACGCCGGUGAAAUCGUCGAGCAAGAGAGACGACAUUUAAAAGUAGCUAUAUAGGACUGAUCCGCUUACCAGGUUUAAAAGUCAAGUGCUAAAAGCGCAAUUCAUCCCAUCUAACCGGCCAAGAGUGGGAGAGGAAAUCGGCCGUAGAAGUUUCUAGGAAGACGAUAGAGGAAAGAUAGUUGGUUACUCGGCACGGGUGUCUACGUCCGUCGUUCCGACCAUUUUGCUCAACGAUUCAUUUUAUUUCCAGACGCGAGAGAAGUAUCGUUCGUUUCUCGUAUGAAAGUCUCUACCUUCAUUUUUUCUCUUUUUAGGUCUCUUCUCUCACUCUUUUUCACGCUUUUCCCUUCUCUCUCCCUCUUUGUCUCGCGCGUGUGUUCGUUUCACUGGGCCCGUCUCGCGUUCUCGUUUCUGGUUCCUGAGUUUCUAUUUUUCUGCCUCUUCCAAGAUUGGAGGGUCGACGAAGCGGAAACAAGGGGUGACUGCGUCCUUUCUCUUCUGCAAUGGAAGUUUUUCUUCUUUUUUCCCCUUCUUUCUGUUUGCACGACGCUCGAGUGGCACCGUUUACCAGUGCAGCGUUCGAGGUAUACGUGUGUCCGGAAUAAGUCGAUAAUAAGAGGUAUGUGAAACAUAUCCAAGAUUCCAAAGGGUUUCUCUGCGAUCGGGAUCAGCCCUCUAAUGAAUUCAUCGACAACAGCAUCUAAUGUCUGCCUUCGAAUGACUGAAUUUCGUGCGUGCCUCUUACGACUUUAGGAUCGGAAUGCCAUAAUGGAGGCUGCCUCCGGAAUAUUGGAACAUGACAUCGAUAUCGGAGUACGAAGAAAAGAGGAUCUUUUCGAAGAUUUUCGAAACAAGACUAGCGUAAGUUAUAAUAUAUAAUAAAAUCGAUUCUGUAAUGUGAUAGGAUGCAGAAGAGGAAUAAAGAAGGAAAAUUAGAUGCAUCCUUCGAGGAUGGAAUACAUAAGAAUCACGUGGAGGGAGGAUUGAUGGGGUGUAAUUUACGUAAUGGAAUAGAAAGACGCGAGGUGAACGAGAAGAAUGCAAAAACGCGAUAGACGUUCCAUUUAAAUGGCUUCUUGUUUACCCUCGGUUUUAACCCCUGGCAGCCAACGUGGAUUCGAUUCUCGUUGCCUCGCGACUCGCCAGCCGAUUUAAGCGGUGAAUUUAUCGCGACCACCCGGUCCGCGUAACGAGAGGGUGGAAUGCAUCGGGAUGGCUUCUUGCGGCAUAGUAGGGUUGGAUACGCGGAGUGGAGUUUAAUGAGAUAGUUAUAUAGGUGUUGCGUGUUCUUCGGUUGUUUGAAAAUGUGACUCUGGUUUCAGAAAGUAAUUGAUAUGAAUUUUCCAUAUAUUGCAUCAUUUUUAAAUUAAAAUCUAAUCUAAAUAUAUUUUAAAAUGAAAAUUUUGAUAAUUGAAAUGAAAAAAAUUAUUAGAUGCACACGAAAGAUUGUGUUAUAAAUGAUGUUCAUUUCUUUCUUCUUUUGUGUGUAUGAGUAUUAAAAUAUUUUAUUUUUAUUUUUACUUUAGAUUCGAGGUAAAUUUUUAUUAUUCUUAUGUACAGAAAUAUAAACUCAUAAACAACAAAUGUACUUGUAGUUUACAAAAUUCUUAGAAAUAAAUUUUUGAAGGAACUAAUUGUUAUUUAAAAAGAUACGAAAAAAAAUAUUUACAAAAUGAAUUCAUAAUAUUACAUACGUUAUAUACUCUGAGUUAACCAAUGAAAAUUUAAAACAAUGUAUAUUCAUGAAAGUAUAGAUAUUUAUUAACUUAGUGAAUUGAAUAUAUAUCAUAUAUUAUUGCAUUUCUAAAGAUAUAGAUUCAAUUUUCUCAUAACUGAAUUAUAAUUGUUUAUUUAUUUGAUUAUCUUUUCCGAAGAUAUUCAAAAUGACAUCUUGGCAUCGAUAUGAUUAUUUUUCCAAUACUUUUCGUUCUUUGAAUGUAAAAUAUUUAUUAUAUUUCGAAUUAGAUAAAACACAAAACUUAUAAUUAAACGAUCAAGUAGAAUAUAUUUUAUAUAAAU
Apis cerana (Asiatic honeybee) is the source of this 2442-nucleotide long non-coding RNA. RefSeq lists it as uncharacterized. The record is from RefSeq and is a predicted model, not a curated record. NCBI's taxonomy places the organism in Eukaryota, Metazoa, Arthropoda, Insecta, Hymenoptera, Apidae.